UUAGAGUUGAUACGGAAAUUGCGGGCAGAACUUGAUAAGCUUCUCUGGAGGAAGAUUGAGGACCCAAGCUUAGACAUAUCUGCGGAGGGAAAGGGGGUUGUUUCUGCUGUGAUUGAGUUAUUGCACAGUUACAAUGUACGUUACUAAAUUUUGUUCUCAGGACAAACAUUUUUUAAUAACAGUCCUGUCAUUUGCCUAAAUUAUUUUUUAUUAUUUAAUAACCAUGUGAUAUUAAUGGAUCAGCCGUCACUUGAUGGAAGGUUUGUG
Molecule: unclassified non-coding RNA, 267 nt
Filed under: Hevea brasiliensis (rubber tree)
Lineage: Eukaryota; Viridiplantae; Streptophyta; Magnoliopsida; Malpighiales; Euphorbiaceae
Source: RNAcentral